This 464-nucleotide ribosomal RNA is filed under the name Vreelandella stevensii. Its description in RNAcentral is "partial 16S ribosomal RNA". It matches the Rfam family "Bacterial small subunit ribosomal RNA", at positions 338 to 795 of the family's 1533-position model. Lineage: Bacteria; Pseudomonadati; Pseudomonadota; Gammaproteobacteria; Oceanospirillales; Halomonadaceae. The record is from RNAcentral.
CCUACGGCGGCUGCAGUGGGGAAUAUUGGACAAUGGGCGAAAGCCUGAUCCAGCCAUGCCGCGUGUGUGAAGAAGGCCUUCGGGUUGUAAAGCACUUUCAGUGGGGAAGAAAGCCUUGGGGCUAAUACCCUCGAGGAAGGACAUCACCCACAGAAGAAGCACCGGCUAACUCCGUGCCAGCAGCCGCGGUAAUACGGAGGGUGCGAGCGUUAAUCGGAAUUACUGGGCGUAAAGCGCGCGUAGGCGGUCUGAUAAGCCGGUUGUGAAAGCCCCGGGCUCAACCUGGGAACGGCAUCCGGAACUGUCAGGCUAGAGUGCAGGAGAGGAAGGUAGAAUUCCCGGUGUAGCGGUGAAAUGCGUAGAGAUCGGGAGGAAUACCAGUGGCGAAGGCGGCCUUCUGGACUGACACUGACGCUGAGGUGCGAAAGCGUGGGUAGCAAACAGGAUUAGAUACCCGAGGAGUC